GAUGAACGCUGGCGGCGUGCCUAAUACAUGCAAGUCGAGCGAACAGACGAGGAGCUUGCUCCUCUGACGUUAGCGGCGGACGGGUGAGUAACACGUGGAUAACCUACUUAUAAGACUGGGAUAACUUCGGGAAACCGGAGCUAAUACCGGAUAAUAUAUUGAACCGCAUGGGUCAUUAGUGAAAGACGGUUUUGCUGUCACUUAUAGAUGGAUCCGCGCCGCAUUAGCUAGUUGGUAAGGUAACGGCUUACCAAGGCAACGAUGCGUAGCCGACCUGAGAGGGGGGUCGGCCACACGAGAGGUGGGACGCGGUCCAUAGUACUGAGAGACGCAGCAGUAGGGAAUGGGAGGCAGUAGUGGAAAACAUGACAGAAUGGGCGCGAGUGAGAGAUGACAGUCUUCGGAGCGUGAAACUGGGUUAUGGGUGAAAAACAGAUGUGGAAGUAAAUAUAGAGGGCUUGACGGUAACGAGUAAGAAAGCACCGGCUAACUACGUG
RNAcentral lists this ribosomal RNA (497 nucleotides) under uncultured bacterium. RNAcentral's name for it is "partial 16S ribosomal RNA". It matches the Rfam family "Bacterial small subunit ribosomal RNA", at positions 28 to 507 of the family's 1533-position model. The record is from RNAcentral.